UAUGUGAUCGUCUCUCGCAUAUCAAUAAGCGGAGGAAAAGAAACUAACAAGGAUUCCCUUAGUAACGGCGAGUGAAGCGGGAAGAGCUCAAAUUUGAAAUCUUCAAGGUUUUACCUUGACGAAUUGUAGUUUAAAGAAGUGUUUUCUGUUGAAGUUUUGGUAAAAGUUCUUUGGAAUAGGACAUCAUAGAGGGUGAGAAUCCCGUAUUUGACCAUUAUUUUCAGCUGUGUGAUACACUUUCAAAGAGUCGGACUGUUUGGGAAUGCAGUCCAAAAUGGGUGGUAAAUUUCAUCUAAAGCUAAAUAUUGGCGAGAGACCGAUAGCGAACAAGUACCGUGAGGGAAAGAUGAAAAGAACUUUGAAAAGAGAGUUAAACAGUACGUGAAAUUGUCAAAAGGGAAGCGUUUGACACCAGUGUUGUUUUCUCGAAAAUCAAUUAAAAAGAGUUAGAUUUUGUUGUGUAUUGACCUUAACAGCUUGCAUUUCAAUUUUCUUGCUUUUUUUAACGCACUUUUCGUUUAACAAGUCAACAUCAGUUUCUUUUGUUGUAAAAAGGUCAUUGGAAGGUAGGCUUUCUUUUCGGAGAAAGUGUUUAUAGCCUUUGACUCCUGCAAUCGGAGAGACUGAGGUCUGCAGCGUAGAUCCUUCGGGGUUAGAUACAUUUGUGCUAUGUUAUAGCUUUUUAUAGACAACUUGUUGACUAUGAUUAGUCUUGUAGCUUACUCGCUUAUGCUAUUUUACCUACGCUUAGGAUGUUGAAGAUGUAGCACAUCAU
Molecule: ribosomal RNA, 775 nt
Filed under: uncultured Neocallimastigales
Lineage: Eukaryota; Fungi; Neocallimastigomycota; Neocallimastigomycetes; Neocallimastigales
Description: partial large subunit ribosomal RNA
Rfam family: Eukaryotic large subunit ribosomal RNA
Source: RNAcentral